RNAcentral lists this long non-coding RNA (1352 nucleotides) under Ricinus communis (castor bean). Its description in RNAcentral is "long non-coding RNA (RCOM_LNC000048)". The record is from RNAcentral. Lineage: Eukaryota; Viridiplantae; Streptophyta; Magnoliopsida; Malpighiales; Euphorbiaceae.
GGAGAAAGAGAAACUUUCAGUCGAGAAUGGAGAGCUCAAGCAAGACCUAGAUGCUUAUGGGAAUACAGAAGCAGAAUUGAAUCAGAAAUUAGAGGAGAUGAUCAAAGCGAAGGACAACUUGACUCUAGAAGUCACAGACCUAAAGAGUAAGUUGACAGCUACCACUGAAGAAAAGGAAGCUUUCAAUUCGGAACAUCAGACAGCUUUAAGCAGGAUACAAGAAGCAGAGGAGAUCAUUAGAAAUUUGAAGUUAGAAGCUGAAAGAUUAGAUGUGGAGAGAGAGAAAUUUUCGAUUGAGAAUACAGAACUCAAGCAAGACCUAGAUGCUUAUGGCAAUAAAGAAAAAGAAUUGAAUCAGAGAUUGGAGGAGAUUAGCAAAGAGAAGGACAACUUGAAUCUAGAAGUUGCAGACCUGAAGAGUAAGUUGACAGCUAUGACUGAAGAGAAGGAAGCUUUCAAUUUGGAACAUCAGACUGCUUUAAGCAGGAUACAAGAAGCAGAGGAGAUAAUUAGAAAUUUGAAGUUAGAAGCUGAAAGAUUAGAUGCGGAGAAAGAGAAACUUUCAGUCGAGAAUGGAGAGCUCAAGCAAGACCUAGAUGCUUAUGGGAAUACAGAAGCAGAACUGAAUCAGAGAUUGGAGGAGAUGAGCAAAGCGAAGGACAACUUGACUCUGGAAGUCACAGACCUAAAGAGUAAGUUGACAGCUAUCGCUGAAGAAAAGGAAGCUUUCAAUUCGGAACAUCAGACAACUUUAAGCAGGAUACAAGAAGCAGAGGAGAUCAUUAGAAAUUUGAAGUUAGAAGCUGAAAGAUUAGAUGUGGAGAGAGAGAAAUUCUCGAUUGAGAAUAGAGAACUCAAGCAAGACCUAGAUGCUUAUGGCAAUAAAGAAAAAGAAUUGAAUCAGAGAUUGGAGGAGAUUAGCAAAGAGAAGGACAACUUGAAUCUAGAAGUUGCAGACCUGAAGAUUAAGUUGACAGCUACGACUGAAGAAAAGGAAGCUUUCAAUUUGGAACAUCAGACCGCUUUAAGCAGGAUACAAGAAGCAGAGGAGAUAAUUAGAAAUUUGAAGUUAGAAGCUGAAAGAUUAGAUGCGGAGAAAGAGAAACUUUCAGUCGAGAAUGGAGAGCUCAAGCAAGACCUAGAUGCUUAUGGGAAUACAGAAGCAGAAUUGAAUCAGAAAUUAGAGGAGAUGAUCAAAGCGAAGGACAACUUGACUCUAGAAGUCACAGACCUAAAGAGUAAGUUGACAGCUACCACUGAAGAAAAGGAAGCUUUCAAUUCGGAACAUCAGACAGCUUUAAGCAGGAUACAAGAAGGAGAGGAGAUCAUUAGAAAUUUGAAGUUAGAAGCUG